This 570-nucleotide ribosomal RNA is filed under the name Candida maltosa. Its description in RNAcentral is "eukaryotic LSU rRNA". It matches the Rfam family "Eukaryotic large subunit ribosomal RNA", at positions 62 to 648 of the family's 3401-position model. The record is from RNAcentral. Lineage: Eukaryota; Fungi; Ascomycota; Pichiomycetes; Serinales; Debaryomycetaceae.
AAACCAACAGGGAUUGCCUUAGUAGCGGCGAGUGAAGCGGCAAAAGCUCAAAUUUGAAAUCUGGUACUUUCAGUGCCCGAGUUGUAAUUUGAAGAAGGUAUCUUUGGGUCUGGCGCUUGUCUAUGUUUCUUGGAACAGAACGUCACAGAGGGUGAGAAUCCCGUGCGAUGAGAUGAUCCAGACCUAUGUAAAGUUCCUUCGACGAGUCGAGUUGUUUGGGAAUGCAGCUCUAAGUGGGUGGUAAAUUCCAUCUAAAGCUAAAUAUUGGCGAGAGACCGAUAGCGAACAAGUACAGUGAUGGAAAGAUGAAAAGAACUUUGAAAAGAGAGUGAAAAAGUACGUGAAAUUGUUGAAAGGGAAGGGCUUGAGAUCAGACUUGGUAUUUUGUAUGUUACUUCUUCGGGGGUGGCCUCUACAGUUUAUCGGGCCAGCAUCAGUUUGGACGGUAGGAGAAUUGCGGUGGAAUGUGGCACGGCUUCGGUUGUGUGUUAUAGCCACUGUCGAUACUGCCAGUCUAGACUGAGGACUGCGGUUUAUACCUAGGAUGUUGGCAUAAUGAUCUUAAGUCGC